CCCUUGCUAGCUCAGUCGGUAAAGAAUCUGCCUGCAAUGCAGGGGACCUGGGUUCCAUUCCUGGGUCGGGAA
Molecule: transfer RNA, 72 nt
Filed under: Ovis aries (sheep)
Lineage: Eukaryota; Metazoa; Chordata; Mammalia; Artiodactyla; Bovidae
Rfam family: tRNA
About the family: Transfer RNA (tRNA) molecules are approximately 80 nucleotides in length. Their secondary structure includes four short double-helical elements and three loops (D, anti-codon, and T loops).
Source: Rfam by way of RNAcentral